RNAcentral lists this ribosomal RNA (677 nucleotides) under Sedum bulbiferum. RNAcentral describes it as "eukaryotic LSU rRNA". The stretch from base 267 to 422 matches the Rfam family "5.8S ribosomal RNA". The record is from RNAcentral. Lineage: Eukaryota; Viridiplantae; Streptophyta; Magnoliopsida; Saxifragales; Crassulaceae.
UCCGUAGGUGAACCUGCGGAAGGAUCAUUGUCGAAGCCUAGAAAGCGCGACCGCGGAUUAGUUUACAAUCGGGUGAAAGUCUUUGGACCCCUUGGGCCCUAAGGCGCGUACUCGCUCGGCUGGCGAGCAGACAAACAUUUGCUCGUCUUCCGAAUUUAACGAACCCCCGGCGCGGUCAGCGCCAAGGAAUCAAAAAGAAAAGAACUCGCGACCUCCAUCCGGUUUAUCCGGAUGCGAGGGUUUGUAUGUUCAAAAAAUAUCAUAACGACUCUCGGCAACGGAUAUCUCGGCUCUCGCAUCGAUGAAGAACGUAGCAAAAUGCGAUACUUGGUGUGAAUUGCAGAAUCCCGUGAAUCAUCGAGUCUUUGAACGCAAGUUGCGCCCGAGGCCUUUAGGUUGAGGGCACGUCUGCCUGGGCGUCAUGCAUUGCGGUGCCCCCCAUACAUGUAUGUGGGGUGAAUCUUGGCCUCCCGUAAGAUCUAACUUGCGGUUGGCUUAAACACGAGCUUCAAGACCGGAAAAUGUCUCGACAAGUGGUGGUUGGAUGGGCCUUGGCCUUAAAACUUAGCACGUCUGAGCCAUUUUCUUUUCUAAUGCUGGAAAAGACCUUAAUGGAGUGCCUUAGUCGUGCUUCAGCACUGUGACCCCAGGUCAGGCGGGACUACCCGCUGAGUUAA